This 1396-nucleotide long non-coding RNA is filed under the name Capsicum annuum. Its description in RNAcentral is "long non-coding RNA (CANN_LNC007827)". Lineage: Eukaryota; Viridiplantae; Streptophyta; Magnoliopsida; Solanales; Solanaceae. The record is from RNAcentral.
UUUUGUUAGGUGACUUGGUUGGUUGAAAAUCGUUAAGUUUAGGGACUUCAGAAGGGAUUUUUAUUUUGGAAUGUGGUUUUGUUUUGACACUUGGAUAAAAUGUGUUAGGCUUAGGGAUUUUAAAAGAGAUUUUUAUUUUGGAAUGUGGUUUUGUUUUGAUACUUAGAUGCUCGAAAAUGGUUACGUUUACGGACUUUAGAAGGGAUUUUUUUUUGGAAUGUGGUUUUGUUUUGAAACUUAGAUGCUCGAAAAUGGUUAAGUUUACGGACUUUAGAAGGGAUUUUUUUAUUUAGAAUGUUGUUUUGUUUUGACACUUAGAUGCUUGAAAAUGGUUAAGUUUACGGACUUUAGAAGGGAUUUUUUAUUUGGAAUGUGGUUUUGUUUUGAUACUUAGAUGCUCGAAAAUGUUUAAGUUAAGGGACUUCAAAAUGAUUUUUUUAUUUGAAAUGUGUUUUUGUUUUGACACUUAGAUGCUCGAAAAUGGUUAAGUUUAUGGACUUUAGAAGGGUUUUGUUAUUUGGAAUGUCGUUUUGUUUUGACACUUAGAUGCUCGAAAAUGGUUAAGUUUACGGACUUUAAAAGGGAUUUUUUUUUUGGAAUGUGGUUUUAUUUUGAGACUUAGAUGCUUGAAAAUGAUUAAGUUUACGGACUUUAGAAGGGAUUUUUUAUUUGGAAUGUGGUUUUGUUUUGACACUUAGAUGCUCGAAAAUGGUUAAGUUUACGGACUUUAAAAGGGAUUUUUUUUUUGGAAUGUGGUUUUAUUUUGAGACUUAGAUGCUUGAAAAUGAUUAAGUUUACGGACUUUAGAAGGGAUUUUUUAUUUGGAAUGUGGUUUUGUUUUGACACUUAGAUGCUCGAAAAUGGUUAAGUUUACGAACUUUAGAAGGGAUUUUUUAUUUGGAAUGUGGUUUUGUUUUGAUACUUAGAUGCUCGAAAAUGGUUAAGUUUAGGGACUUCAAAAUGAAUUUUUUGUUUGGAAUGUGGUUUUCUUUUGACACUUAGAUGCUCGAAAAUGGUUAAGUUUACGGACUUUAGAAGAGAUUUUUUAUUUGGAAUGUCGUUUUGUUUUGACACUUAGAUGCUCGAAAAUGGUUAAGUUUAGGGACUUCAGAAGGGGAUUUUGUUUUGGAAUGUGGUUUUGUUAGGUGACUUGGUUCGUUGAAAAUCGUUAAGUUUAGAGACUUUAAAAUGGAUUUUUGUUUUAGAAUGUGGUUUGUUUGGUGACUUUGUCAUUUGAACAUGGUUUAAUCUAGGCACUUUAUAGGUGAUUUUUUUUGUUUGGAAUGUGACUUGUUUGGCGGAUUAGUUACUUGUAAAUGGUUAAGUCUAGUGACUUAACCGGUGAUUUACUUGCAUACAGUGUGACUUUAGAAGGGGAUUUUGUUUUGGAAUGUGG